AGUGAACGCUGGCGGUAGGCCUAACACAUGCAAGUCGAACGGCAGCACAGUAAGAGCUUGCUCUUACGGGUGGCGAGUGGCGGACGGGUGAGGAAUACAUCGGAAUCUACUUUUUCGUGGGGGAUAACGUAGGGAAACUUACGCUAAUACCGCAUACGACCUACGGGUGAAAGCAGGGGAUCUUCGGACCUUGCGCGAUUGGAUGAGCCGAUGUCGGAUUAGCUAGUUGGCGGGGUAAAGGCCCACCAAGGCGACGAUCCGUAGCUGGUCUGAGUGGAUGGUCGGCCACACUGGAACUGAGACACGGUCCAGGCUCCUACGGGAGGCCGCAGUGGGGAAUAUUGGACAAUGGGCGCAAGCAUGAUCCAGCCAUACCGCGUGGGUGAAGAAGGCCUUCGGGUUGUAAAGCCCUUUUGUUGGGAAAGAAAAGCAGCAGGUUAAUACCCCGCUGUUCUGACGGUACCCAAAGAAUAAGCACCGGCUAACUUCGUG
Molecule: ribosomal RNA, 492 nt
Filed under: uncultured bacterium
Lineage: Bacteria
Description: partial 16S ribosomal RNA
Rfam family: Bacterial small subunit ribosomal RNA
Source: RNAcentral